RNAcentral lists this ribosomal RNA (497 nucleotides) under uncultured bacterium. Its description in RNAcentral is "partial 16S ribosomal RNA". It matches the Rfam family "Bacterial small subunit ribosomal RNA", at positions 28 to 507 of the family's 1533-position model. The record is from RNAcentral.
GACGAACGCUGGCGGCGUGCCUAAUACAUGCAAGUUGAGCGAUGAAGCUUGGUGCUUGCCCCAAUUUGAAGAGCAGCGAACGGGUGAGUAACGCGUGGGGAAUCUGCCUUUGAGCGGGGGACAACAUUUGGAAACGAAUGCUAAUACCGCAUAACAACUUUAAACAUAAGUUUUAAGUUUGAAAGAUGCAAUUGCAUCACUCAAAGAUGAUCCCGCGUUGUAUUAGCUAGUUGGUGAGGUAAAGGCUCACCAAGGCGAUGAUACAUAGCCGACCUGAGAGGGUGAUCGGCCACAUUGGGACUGAGACACGGCCCAAACUCCUACGGGAGGCAGCAGUAGGGAAUCUUCGGCAAUGGACGAAAGUCUGACCGAGCAACGCCGCGGGAGGGAAGAAGGGUGUCGGAUCGUAAAACUCUGUUGGUAGAGAAGAACGUUGGUGAGAGUGGAAAGCUCAUCAAGUGACGGUAACUACACAGAAAGGGACGGCUAACUACGUG